This 420-nucleotide ribosomal RNA is filed under the name Triticum aestivum (bread wheat). Its description in RNAcentral is "partial small subunit ribosomal RNA". The record is from RNAcentral. Lineage: Eukaryota; Viridiplantae; Streptophyta; Magnoliopsida; Poales; Poaceae.
AUGAGUUCUCACGCUACCACAACAAACUUCUUUGUGGAUGAGUUGGAAAAGUUAAGAAAGCUUCAUCCAAGUGUGUCAAUCAUCUAUGCUGAUUACUAUGGAGCUGCUACGGAAAUCUUCGUUUCCCCUUAUCAGUUUGGUAUCGAGGAUCCUUUGGUGGCUUGCUGCGGUGUAGAAGGGCCUUAUGGUGUGUCAAUAACCACAAAGUGUGGACAUGGAGAAUACAAGAUGUGUGAUAACCCACAAAAGUAUGCAUCUUGGGAUGGCUUGCAUCCCACAGAAACGUCAUACAAGGCCAUUGCUGAUGGUCUGCUAAGAGGUUCAUACACUCAGCCUCCAAUUGCCACCACAAAAAAUUCAUGUUCAAAACUUACCAAGUUUGUCUCGUCUGCAGAGUACAAGGUUCUCUAUGAUAUGUAA